Molecule: ribosomal RNA, 460 nt
Filed under: uncultured bacterium
Lineage: Bacteria
Description: partial 16S ribosomal RNA
Rfam family: Bacterial small subunit ribosomal RNA
Source: RNAcentral
CCUACGGGGGGCAGCAGUGAGGAAUAUUGGUCAAUGGACGAGAGUCUGAACCAGCCAAGUAGCGUGAAGGAUGACUGCCCUAUGGGUUGUAAACUUCUUUUAUAAAGGAAUAAAACGAGGCACGUGUGCCUUUUUGCAUGUACUUUAUGAAUAAGGAUCGACUAACUCCGUGCCAGCAGCCGCGGUAAUACGGAGGAUCCGAGCGUUAUCCGGAUUUAUUGGGUUUAAAGGGAGCGUAGAUGGGUUGUUAAGUCAGUUGUGAAAGUUUGCGGCUCAACCGUAAAAUUGCAAUUGAUACUGGGAGUCUUGAGUACAGUUGAGGUAGGCGGAAUUCGUGUUGUAGCGGUGAAAUGCUUAGAUAUAACGAAGAACCCCGAUUGCGAAGGCAGCUUACUAAACUGUGACUGACAUUGAUGCUCGAAAGUGUGGGUAUCAAACAGGAUUAGAUACCCGUGUAGGC